Molecule: non-coding RNA, 29 nt
Filed under: Homo sapiens (human)
Lineage: Eukaryota; Metazoa; Chordata; Mammalia; Primates; Hominidae
Source: RNAcentral
UCCAAAUCGUUCCUUGGGCCCGAGACUCC